UGUUGUGAAGCAACGUGUAAACAAAUGUAACGUAUUUCGCAACACAAACCUAACUGAUUAAUAACACUAGAACUUUCUUUGCUAGUAUAAAAAGCCGCAUAGAAGCAAAUAACUUUAUACUGCUAACUUAUAAUACAUACAACGAUAGAUCUGAAAGAAGGACAAUUUAAACGAUUACAAUGGAUAAAACAACAACAACAGACCUUUUGAGAGAUUUGACGCAAUUAACAGCUUAUUUAAAAGAUAAUUACAAAGAAGAUCCAGUAUGUCAAGAAUGGGCUACAACAUUUGAUUCAAAGUAUUACAUGAAAUUGGUUAAUGCAUGUUAACCAACAAAGCAGCAAACAAGGAGUACUUUAAAAGAAAAACUUAAAGAAGAAAUUACGAAAUCAUUUGGAUAAGGAGAAGUUCCAGAAAAGUUUGCAGUGGACACAUCAAAUCAUGAUAAAUGUAUUGAAAGCAUUAAAAAUUUAGAUCAGCAGAUAUGCAGGAACAAACGGCAUAUAGUUUUUUGUACACAUAAAAUUGGAUUUAUAAUUAAAACAAUACAAUUAACUUGCCCAAAGGAUUGUGAUCUAGGACUUUAUUUUCAUAUCAAAGGUAUAUAUAUAUAUAUAUGUGUGUGUGUGUGUGUUUGUGGAGUGCACGUCUGCGUGCUGUAGGUUUCGUUUUGGGGAGGCUGCGAUUUUGGUACGUGGCAUUCCCUGUUUGAUAUUUGUCUGUUUUUUUUACACAGAUUCCUACUGUCGAAACCUGAUUUUAGUUUAUGAAUUAAUUGAGAAACAUAAAAAUUUAUUGAAGUGUGCUUUAAAUAUUGGAACUUAAAGUAAAAACAGGAAAUUAAUUGAAGAAAUAUGUACAGAUCUAGUUCAAUUGGUAACAAAAUCAGCUUUUAACAGUAGGAAUCUAUGUAAGGAUUCCAUGUAUAAUGUUCACGUUUAUUUAUAGUAACGUUUACAGUGUAAACGCACGUCACUUCCGUGUACAAUGUUCAAGUUUAUUUUUAACAUUAGUGGAAUUUCUAUGUAUUUGUACUUUUAUUUAUAGUAACGUUUACGGUGUAAACGCACGUCACUUCCGUGUACAAUGUUCAAGUUAAUUUUUUGCAUUAGUGGAAUUUUUACGUUUAUUUAUAGUAACGUUUACAGAGUAAACGCACGUCACUUCCGUGUACAAUGUUCAAGUUUAUUGGAAUUUCUAUGUAUUUUUAGAUUACAUGUUGCAUUGAGAUAUAAAAUAAUUCACAAUUGUUUGUUCAUUAUGUUUUACAUUAUUAAUUUUUAGUAUUUUAUACAAUAAAUCAUAAAUGUGUAUACCAUCUUGUAACAUUUUUAUGAAAAAUAAACAAUAAUAACCACACAGUACACUUA
Long non-coding RNA from Mercenaria mercenaria, 1370 nucleotides. RefSeq lists it as uncharacterized. The transcript has 2 exons. The record is from RefSeq and is a predicted model, not a curated record. Lineage: Eukaryota; Metazoa; Mollusca; Bivalvia; Venerida; Veneridae.